Molecule: long non-coding RNA, 335 nt
Organism: Vombatus ursinus (common wombat)
Lineage: Eukaryota; Metazoa; Chordata; Mammalia; Diprotodontia; Vombatidae
Exons: 2
Source: RefSeq, a predicted model, not a curated record
UGUGGUGAUCCGGCUGAGGACCGAGGACCCAGGCAUGGGGCAUGUAUCCAUGACAUGGCAAAGAAUCUCACAAGACUCGUCAAGCCUGAUUACUACUACCCACUUCUGGUGAUUCAUGCAGAUGCAAGUGAUGCUGAUAGAGGGAACCUAGAAAGCAUCACUCAAAAUUAUGAAGUCUGGAGCAAAAAAUUAAGGCCUUGGGAGCAUAAGGGUUUUCAUCUCUUCUGUCAAUCAAAAGCUGGUUUUGAAAAAGAUUGGAAAGUAAAUACCUGGCUAAGAAUAUAACAUUUAUUUGUUUGGGGAAUGGCUUAAUAAAUUAUCAUACACAAAUGUAA